This 1248-nucleotide ribosomal RNA is filed under the name Triticum aestivum (bread wheat). RNAcentral's name for it is "partial small subunit ribosomal RNA". The record is from RNAcentral. Lineage: Eukaryota; Viridiplantae; Streptophyta; Magnoliopsida; Poales; Poaceae.
AUGAAGGCGGCCAACAAGGUCACGGCGCUGCCCGGGCAGCCGGAGGGCGUCGACUUCGACCAAUACGGUGGGUACGUGACCGUCGACGAGGAGAACGGCCGCGCCCUCUUCUACUAUCUCGUCGAAUCGCCUUCCGGUGCCUCUGACAAGCCACUCGUCUUGUGGCUCAACGGAGGGCCAGGAUGCUCGUCGCUGGGCUACGGCGCAAUGCAGGAGCUCGGUCCCUUCCGUGUAGCUGAAGACAACAAAACGCUCGGCAGAAACAUGCACGCCUGGAACAACGCGGCCAACGUGAUCUUCCUGGAGUCCCCCGCCGGCGUCGGGUUCUCCUACUCCAACACGUCUUCAGACUACGAUCUCAGCGGAGACGAGAGAACCGCCGCCGACGCGUACGUCUUCCUGGUGAAAUGGCUCGAGAGGUUCCCCGAGUACAAGGGCCGCGCUUUCUACAUCUCCGGCGAGAGCUACGCCGGCCACUACGCGCCACAGCUCGCCGUCACCAUCCUGCUCCACAACACGCACAACAACAGAACCAUAGUCAACCUGCAAGGCAUCUUGGUUGGCAACCCUUAUCUGGACGACAAGAGGAACAAUCAGGGGACGAUUGACUUCUUCUGGACCCACGGGGUGAUGUCGGACGAGGUCUACGCCAACGUCACCGAGCACUGCGACUCUGCAGGUAAAGCAUGCAGCGGCGCCUGGGACGCGUUCGACGCCGGCCAAAUUGAUGCGUACAACAUCUACGCCCCCGUUUGCGUCGACGCGCCCGACGGAGCGUAUCACCCCAGCGGCUACCUGCCUGGGUAUGAUCCGUGCAGCGACUAUCCUACCAUUGCCUAUCUCAAUGAUCCGGCGGUGCAGGACGCUUUCCACGCUAGGAUGACGGAGUGGUCGCCAUGCAGAAGCUUUAAGUGGAAAGACGCUCCAGUGACUAUGCUCCCAUCCAUCAAAUUCUUGAUCGAGAACAAGCUUCCCGUUUGGAUAUUCAGUGGUGACUUCGACUCCGUUUGCCCUCUUCCGGCGACGAGGUACUCCAUCCAAGACCUUGGCCUUCCUGUGACCACUCCAUGGCGCCCAUGGGUGGCAAAGGAGGAGGUGGCAGGAUAUGUCCAAGAGUACGCCGGUGGAUUGACAUUCCUAUCAGUGAGAGGUGCCGGUCAUCUUGUCCCGUCCUUCCAGCCUGAGAGGGCGUUGAUAAUGCUGACCUCUUUCCUGAAAGGGAUGCUCCCCCCUUACAUGCAAGACUAG